CCUACGGGAGGCAGCAGUGGGGAAUAUUGGACAAUGGGGGCAACCCUGAUCCAGCCAUGCCGCGUGUGUGAAGAAGGCCCUCGGGUUGUAAAGCACUUUCAGUGAGGAAGAACGCCUGGUGGUUAAUACCCAUCAGGAAAGACAUCACUCACAGAAGAAGCACCGGCUAACUCCGUGCCAGCAGCCGCGGUAAUACGGAGGGUGCGAGCGUUAAUCGGAAUUACUGGGCGUAAAGCGCGCGUAGGUGGCUUGAUAAGCCGGUUGUGAAAGCCCCGGGCUCAACCUGGGAACGGCAUCCGGAACUGUCAAGCUAGAGUGCAGGAGAGGAAGGUAGAAUUCCCGGUGUAGCGGUGAAAUGCGUAGAGAUCGGGAGGAAUACCAGUGGCGAAGGCGGCCUUCUGGACUGACACUGCCACUGAGGUGCGAAAGCGUGGGUAGCAAACAGGAUUAGAUACCCGAGUAGUC
This 465-nucleotide ribosomal RNA is filed under the name Vreelandella stevensii. RNAcentral describes it as "partial 16S ribosomal RNA". It matches the Rfam family "Bacterial small subunit ribosomal RNA", at positions 338 to 795 of the family's 1533-position model. Lineage: Bacteria; Pseudomonadati; Pseudomonadota; Gammaproteobacteria; Oceanospirillales; Halomonadaceae. The record is from RNAcentral.